RNAcentral lists this ribosomal RNA (460 nucleotides) under uncultured bacterium. Its description in RNAcentral is "partial 16S ribosomal RNA". It matches the Rfam family "Bacterial small subunit ribosomal RNA", at positions 338 to 795 of the family's 1533-position model. The record is from RNAcentral.
CCUACGGGUGGCAGCAGUGAGGAAUAUUGGUCAAUGGACGAGAGUCUGAACCAGCCAAGUAGCGUGAAGGAUGACUGCCCUAUGGGUUGUAAACUUCUUUUAUAUGGGAAUAAAAUGUUCCACGUGUGGGAUUUUGUAUGUACCAUAUGAAUAAGGAUCGGCUAACUCCGUGCCAGCAGCCGCGGUAAUACGGAGGAUCCGAGCGUUAUCCGGAUUUAUUGGGUUUAAAGGGAGCGUAGGUGGAUUGUUAAGUCAGUUGUGAAAGUUUGCGGCUCAACCGUAAAAUUGCAGUUGAAACUGGCAGUCUUGAGUACAGUAGAGGUGGGCGGAAUUCGUGGUGUAGCGGUGAAAGGCUUAGAUAUCACGAAGAACUCCGAUUGAGAAGGCAGCUCACUGGACUGCAACUGACACUGAGGCUCGAAAGUGUGGGUAUCAAACAGGAUUAGAUACCCGUGUAGUC